This 625-nucleotide ribosomal RNA is filed under the name uncultured Thelephoraceae. RNAcentral describes it as "eukaryotic LSU rRNA". The stretch from base 210 to 364 matches the Rfam family "5.8S ribosomal RNA". The record is from RNAcentral. Lineage: Eukaryota; Fungi; Basidiomycota; Agaricomycetes; Thelephorales; Thelephoraceae.
CAUUACUGAUUUGUUGACAUGAGCUGUUGCUGGUCCUCAAACAUGGGGGCAUGUGCACGCUCUGUUCACACAUCCACUCACACCUGUGCACCCUCCGUAGUUCUAUGGUCUGGGGGACACCUUGUCUUCCUCCUGUAGUUCUAUGUCUUUACACGUACACCGUAGCGAAGUCUUAUGGAAUGUGCACCGCGUUUAACGCAAUACAAUACAACUUUCAGCAACGGAUCUCUUGGCUCUCGCAUCGAUGAAGAACGCAGCGAAAUGCGAUAAGUAAUGUGAAUUGCAGAAUUCAGUGAAUCAUCGAAUCUUUGAACGCACCUUGCGCCCCUUGGCUAUUCCGAGGGGCAUGCCUGUUUGAGUAUCAUGAACACCUCAACUCACAUGGUUUGCCAUGAUGAGCUUGGACUUUGGGGGUUUUGCUGGCCUGCAGUCAGCUCCUCUCAAACGGAUCAGCUUACCAGUAUUUGGUGGCGUCAUGGGUGUGAUAAUUAUCUACACUUGUGGUUGUCUGCUGAGUAACCUUUGGCGACAGGGGUUUGCUGGAGCUUAUAAAUGUCUCUCCCCAGCGAAGACAGCUUUUUGACCGUUCGAUCUCAAAUCAGGUAGGACUACCCGCUGAACUUAA